This 253-nucleotide ribosomal RNA is filed under the name uncultured bacterium. RNAcentral's name for it is "partial 16S ribosomal RNA". It matches the Rfam family "Bacterial small subunit ribosomal RNA", at positions 524 to 776 of the family's 1533-position model. The record is from RNAcentral.
UACAGAGGGUGCGAGCGUUAAUCGGAAUUACUGGGCGUAAAGCGCGCGUAGGCGGCUUUGCAAGUCGGGUGUGAAAUCCCCAGGCUCAACCUGGGAACUGCAUUCGAGACUGCAUUGCUAGAGUAUGGGAGAGGGAAGUGGAAUUUCCGGUGUAGCGGUGAAAUGCAUAGAUACAAUCAAGAACUCCGAUUGCGUAGGCAGCUAACUAGGCUGUAACUGACGCUGAGGCACGAAAGCGUGGGGAGCGAACAGG